CCAAACGGUGCUUACACAUGCAAGUCGAACGAUGAACCCGAAGCUUGCUUUGGGGGAUUAGUGGCGAACGGGUGAGUAACACGUGAGCAACCUGCCCCUCACUCUGGGAUAAGCGCUGGAAACGGCGUCUAAUACUGGAUACGAGAUGCGACCGCAUGGUCAGUGUCUGGAAAGAUUUUUUGGUGGGGGAUGGGCUCGCGGCCUAUCAGCUUGUUGGUGAGGUAAUGGCUCACCAAGGCGUCGACGGGUAGCCGGCCUGAGAGGGUGACCGGCCACACUGGGACUGAGACACGGCCCAGACUCCUACGGGAGGCAGCAGUGGGGAAUAUUGCACAAUGGGCGGAAGCCUGAUGCAGCAACGCCGCGUGAGGGAUGACGGCCUUCGGGUUGUAAACCUCUUUUAGCAGGGAAGAAGCGAAAGUGACGGUACCUGCAGAAAAAGCACCGGCUAACUACGUGCCAGCAGCCGCGGUAAUACGUAGGGUGCAAGCGUUAUCCGGAAUUAUUGGGCGUAAAGAGCUCGUAGGCGGUUUGUCGCGUCUGCUGUGAAAUCCCGAGGCUCAACCUCGGGCCUGCAGUGGGUACGGGCAGACUAGAGUGCGGUAGGGGAGAUUGGAAUUCCUGGUGUAGCGGUGGAAUGCGCAGAUAUCAGGAGGAACACCGAUGGCGAAGGCAGAUCUCUGGGCCGUAACUGACGCUGAGGAGCGAAAGGGUGGGGAGCAAACAGGCUUAGAUACCCUGGUAGUCCACCCCGUAAACGUUGGGAACUAGUUGUGGGGUCCUUUCCACGGAUUCCGUGACGCAGCUAACGCAUUAAGUUCCCCGCCUGGGGAGUACGGCCGCAAGGCUAAAACUCAAAGGAAUUGACGGGGACCCGCACAAGCGGCGGAGCAUGCGGAUUAAUUUCGAUGCAACGCGAAGAACCUUACCAAGGCUUGACAUACACGAGAACGGCCAGAAAUGGUCAACUCUUUGGACACUCGUGAACAGGUGGUGCAUGUGUCGUCAGCUCGUGUCGUGAGAUGUGGGGUUAAGUCCCGCCACGAGCGCCAUCCUCGGUUCAUGUGCCAGGCACGUAAUGUGGCAACUUCAUGGAUAACUGCCCGGAUCAACUUCGGAAGGAAAAG
Molecule: ribosomal RNA, 1127 nt
Filed under: Microbacterium azadirachtae
Lineage: Bacteria; Bacillati; Actinomycetota; Actinomycetes; Micrococcales; Microbacteriaceae
Description: bacterial SSU rRNA
Rfam family: Bacterial small subunit ribosomal RNA
Source: RNAcentral